CCAAUCGGAAUCUUUCUUCCAACCUACAUCCAAUGUUGUUAAAUGACCAUUAUAGCGCCACCAUUAUGCUAGAACAUUAUGGCGGCACCAUAAAGGUUUUUUAACAACAUUGGAUGAGGGUUGGAAGAAAUAUUUCAAUUG
Molecule: microRNA precursor, 141 nt
Filed under: Glycine max (soybean)
Lineage: Eukaryota; Viridiplantae; Streptophyta; Magnoliopsida; Fabales; Fabaceae
Description: miR4408 stem-loop (gma-MIR4408)
Source: miRBase by way of RNAcentral